GGAGCUUGCUUCUCCGGAUGAGUUGCGAACGGGUGAGUAACGCGUAGGUAACCUGCCUGGUAGCGGGGGAUAACUAUUGGAAACGAUAGCUAAUACCGCAUAAGAGUAGAUGUUGCAUGACAUUUACUUAAAAGGUGCAAAUGCAUCACUACCAGAUGGACCUGCGUUGUAUUAGCUAGUUGGUGGGGUAACGGCUCACCAAGGCGACGAUACAUAGCCGACCUGAGAGGGUGAUCGGCCACACUGGGACUGAGACACGGCCCAGACUCCUACGGGAGGCAGCAGUAAGGGAAUCUUCGGCAAUGGACGGAAGUCUGACCGAGCAACGCCGCGUGAGUGAAGAAGGUUUUCGGAUCGUAAAGCUCUGUUGUAAGAGAAGAACGAGUGUGAGACUGGAAAGUUCACACUGUGACGGUAUCUUACCAGAAAGGGACGGCUAACUACGUGCCAGCAGCCGCGGUAAUACGUAGGUCCCGAGCGUUGUCCGGAUUUAUUGGGCGUAAAGCGAGCGCAGGCGGUUAGAUAAGUCUGAAGUUAAAGGCCGUGGCUUAACCAUAGUACGCUUUGGAAACUGUUUAACUUGAGUGCAAGAGGGGAGAGUGGAAUUCCAUGUGUAGCGGUGAAAUGCGUAGAUAUAUGGAGGAACACCGGUGGCGAAAGC
RNAcentral lists this ribosomal RNA (661 nucleotides) under uncultured Streptococcus sp. Its description in RNAcentral is "bacterial SSU rRNA". It matches the Rfam family "Bacterial small subunit ribosomal RNA", at positions 75 to 722 of the family's 1533-position model. The record is from RNAcentral. Lineage: Bacteria; Bacillati; Bacillota; Bacilli; Lactobacillales; Streptococcaceae.